Lynx canadensis (Canada lynx) is the source of this 847-nucleotide long non-coding RNA. RefSeq lists it as uncharacterized. The record is from RefSeq and is a predicted model, not a curated record. Lineage: Eukaryota; Metazoa; Chordata; Mammalia; Carnivora; Felidae. The transcript has 3 exons.
UCUUCUCCCACCGUUUUCUGGACUUCGCCGCUGGUUGCUGCACCCUAUGGUUCAAGAAUAUCAGCAGGGCUAUGGCAGUGGCAGCUAUGUCUAAAAGGAAGCACUUGGCUGUAAUCCCUGGAGGCAGAGCCAAGACCCCUUCACUCAACUAUGUAAGCAUCAAAGGUAUCCACAACAGAUGGAAAUACCACAGGGGGCUAAAACAGAAAAACAAGAAGAUGGAGAAUAUCACCUGGUGACUGACGGCACUUCAUGAGUACAUGUGAAAUAUCCACUGUUACCUCUCAAACAAAUUGGAAAGACUGCAAAGAGAUGGAGAUACUGCAGUGGAUGGGGUGAGGAAGAUACUGCGGUGGGUGGAGAAAUAUAGAAAUCUUGAUUCCUAGAUGAGAAAAAAUGCAAAGGUCUCUCUAUCUCAACUUUUACAACUUCAGAUAGAACACAUAUUUUACAUCUUCUCAGAAACUCAGAAAGAAUAUGAUUGGAAAUGAAUGGCUGGAAUCACCAUGUGAUGAAUCAUGUACCAAAUGGCACAUGGAUGGUGACUAAUCCUUGAAGCCAAAGCUGAUAAAUGACUUCCAUUGAACAGUGACUGGAAGAUACAAGACUUUCUGUGAUUCUGUUAUUCUGUCUGUGAUUAGAGAGUUGUGACAACCUCUGCUCAUCAGAGGUUGGAUGAACUGUUCGGUAGUGGUUAAGGUGGGAGGCAAAUUGCUUUUUUGUUUUUGCUUAUUUCCUGUUUAUGCUAUUUAACAAAAUUGAAUCACAUUGGAUAAGACAUUUAAUUAUUCUAAGCUUAAUUUCCUUACCCAGAAAAUGAGGAUAAUAAUACAGUAUCACUUUUAUA